AUUAUACCUUAACCCCACCCCCCCCCCCCCCCCCCCCCCAUGGAAAUCGAGGUCUCGAGCUCGACUCAUGAUACCGUCGAUUUGGAUAGUAUUCGUGUCAAGCGGAAGACGUUGCAGAAUCUGCUCGACGAUUGCCAUAGAGCUCCCGAGCUGCUUAAUCUCGCCGAUACUGCUCCCAGUGGAGAUAGAACCGAAACAGGUGGUUCCGGAAAGGAUUACAGCAACCCCGUUGGCUCAUCGGAGUCUCCUUAGCCGAUGAGUAUUUUAGCAGUCGUCGCUCUGCUUUUUUUUCUUCUGGUUUCUGCAAGUCCGAUCGAGACAUACAUUUACUAAUUACCGAGUUUGCUUGUUUCCUGGUUACAGGGGACAUGUUUCAAACAGAGCUUGAACUUGCCUAACCUGUAGCUAUGGAUCACUGGAUCACUUCUAAACCAAGAGGCAAGGUCACACUCUCUAUGGCGUCAGACGAGGCUGCUUCUUGAGCUUGACGCUGCUCCUAGCUUGAAGAGGCAAGGUCGCACUGUAAUCACAUUGCUUGUAUUGAAAACUUGCAGAUUAUAGUCUAUUCUUCUGCAAAAGCCUUUAGAGGAAGCAAAAAGGACAGAAGCAUUGCAGAAUGACGAUGCCUGGGUUGGAUCAUUUCAGAGCUUCAUGAGUGAUUGAUAGCUCGUGGUGGUUUAGUAAUGUUGAUGUCACUGGGAUCACUCGUAGGAAAGGUUUUCAGGUGAAAACUGAUUUUAAAACUAUGAUCUUUUCUUUGUCUUAGAUAGAACAUAAGUGUUAGAAUAGUCAAGUAACAAUGUGCUUUAGUGUCUAGAGUUAAUUGAUGUGUUGUUGAUGUAAUUUUCUUGGAUAACAAGGUUUCAAUGCAUAGAAUGAAAAAAAUUAAGAACCCCAAAA
Brassica napus (rape) is the source of this 900-nucleotide long non-coding RNA. RefSeq lists it as uncharacterized. The record is from RefSeq and is a predicted model, not a curated record. The transcript has 2 exons. Lineage: Eukaryota; Viridiplantae; Streptophyta; Magnoliopsida; Brassicales; Brassicaceae.